Molecule: ribosomal RNA, 494 nt
Filed under: uncultured bacterium
Lineage: Bacteria
Description: partial 16S ribosomal RNA
Rfam family: Bacterial small subunit ribosomal RNA
Source: RNAcentral
GACGAACGCUGGCGGCGUGCUUAACACAUGCAAGUCGAACGGUGAAGCGCCUUCCUUUUUGGUGGGUGUGGAUGAGUGGCGAACGGGUGAGUAACACGUGAGUAACCUGCCCCCUUCUUCUGGAUAACCGCAUGAAAGUGUGGCUAAUACGGGAUAUUCUGGGUCUGUCGCAUGAUGGGUCUGGGAAAGAUAUUGUUUCGGUGGGGGAUGGGCUCGCGGCCUAUCAGCUUGUUGGUGGGGUGAUGGCCUACCAAGGCGGUGACGGGUGGCCGGCCUGAGAGGGUGGACGGUCACACUGGGACUGAGACACGGCCCAGACUCCUACGGGAGGCAGCAGUGGGGAAUAUUGCACAAUGGGCGCAAGCCUGAUGCAGCGACGCCGCGUGAGGGAUGGAGGCCUUCGGGUUGUGAACCUCUUUCGCCAGUGAAGCAGGCCUGCCUCGUUUGUGGGUGGGUUGACGGUAGCUGGAGAAGAAGCGCCGGCUAACUACGUG